GAUGAACGCUGACAGAAUGCUUAACACAUGCAAGUCGAUGGGGAAGUGGUGCUUGCACCAUGGCAACCAUGGCGGACGGGUGAGUAACGCGUAAGGGACUUACCUGCAGGACUGGGAUAACAGGGGGAAACUCCUGACAAGACCGGAUAAUGUCAUGGAGCUGCAUGGCUUUAUGAUGAAAGGAGACGCCUGCGGAGAGCCUUGCGUCCUAUUAGCUAGUUGGUGAGGUAAUGGCUCACCAAGGCGAAGAUAGGUAGCCGGCCUGAGAGGGUAGACGGCCACAAGGGGACUGAGAUACGGCCCUUACUCCUACGGGAGGCAGCAGUGGGGAAUAUUGGACAAUGGGGGCAACCCUGAUACAGAAAUUCUGUGUGCACGAAGAAGGUUUUCGGAUUGUAAAGUGCUUUCAGCAGGGAAGAAGUAAGUGACGGUACCUGCAGAAGAAGCGACGGCUAAAUACGUG
This 463-nucleotide ribosomal RNA is filed under the name uncultured bacterium. RNAcentral describes it as "partial 16S ribosomal RNA". It matches the Rfam family "Bacterial small subunit ribosomal RNA", at positions 28 to 507 of the family's 1533-position model. The record is from RNAcentral.